RNAcentral lists this ribosomal RNA (442 nucleotides) under uncultured bacterium. RNAcentral's name for it is "bacterial SSU rRNA". It matches the Rfam family "Bacterial small subunit ribosomal RNA", at positions 958 to 1398 of the family's 1533-position model. The record is from RNAcentral.
AACGCGAAGAACCUUACCAGGGCUUGACAUGUAGCGAACCCUGCAGAGAUGCGGGGGUGCCCUUCGGGGAGCGCUAACACAGGUGGUGCAUGGUUGUCGUCAGCUCGUGUCGUGAGAUGUUGGGUUAAGUCCCGCAACGAGCGCAACCCCUAUUGUAUGUUGCCAUCAGGUAAAGCUGGGCACUCAUGCGAGACUGCCGGUGACAAACCGGAGGAAGGUGGGGAUGACGUCAAAUCAUCAUGCCCCUUAUGUCCUGGGCGACACACGUGCUACAAUGGCCGUCACAGCGCGAACCGAGCCCGCGAGGGGGAGGAAACCGCGAAAGGCGGUCGUAGUUCGGAUCGCAGGCUGCAACUCGCCUGCGUGAAGCCGGAGUUGCUAGUAAUCGCGGAUCAGAACGCCGCGGUGAAUACGUUCCCGGGCCUUGUACACACCGUAGUAC